RNAcentral lists this ribosomal RNA (255 nucleotides) under uncultured bacterium. RNAcentral's name for it is "partial small subunit ribosomal RNA". It matches the Rfam family "Bacterial small subunit ribosomal RNA", at positions 26 to 285 of the family's 1533-position model. The record is from RNAcentral.
AGGACGAACGCUGGCGGCGUGCUUAACACAUGCAAGUCGAGCGGAAAGGCCCUUCGGGGUACUCGAGCGGCGAACGGGUGAGUAACACGUGAGUAAUCUGCCCCUAGCUCUGGGAUAGGCUCCGGGAAACCGGGAUUAAUACCAGAUACAACCACUUUAGACAUCUCUUGUGGUGGAAAGAAUUUCGGCUAGGGAUGAACUCGCGGCCUAUCAGCUUGUUGGUGAGGUAACGGCUCACCAAGGCGACGACGGGUA